RNAcentral lists this ribosomal RNA (492 nucleotides) under uncultured bacterium. Its description in RNAcentral is "partial 16S ribosomal RNA". It matches the Rfam family "Bacterial small subunit ribosomal RNA", at positions 29 to 507 of the family's 1533-position model. The record is from RNAcentral.
AGUGAGCGCUGGCGGUAGGCCUAACACAUGCAAGUCGAACGGCAGCACAGUAAGAGCUUGCUCUUACGGGUGGCGAGUGGCGGACGGGUGAGGAAUACAUCGGAAUCUACUUUUUCGUGGGGGAUAACGUAGGGAAACUUACGCUAAUACCGCAUACGACCUACGGGUGAAAGCAGGGGAUCUUCGGACCUUGCGCGAUUGAAUGAGCCGAUGUCGGAUUAGCUAGUUGGCGGGGUAAAGGCCCACCAAGGCGACGAUCCGUAGCUGGUCUGAGAGGAUGAUCAGCCACACUGGAACUGAGACACGGUCCAGACUCCUACGGGAGGCAGCAGCGGGGAAUAUUGGACAAUGGGCGCAAGCCUGAUCCAGCCAUACCGCGUGGGUGAAGAAGGCCUUCGGGUUGUAAAGCCCUUUUGUUGGGAAAGAAAAGCAGCAGGUUAAUACCCCGCUGUUCUGACGGUACCCAAAGAAUAAGCACCGGCUAACUUCGUG